UACAGAGGGGGCAAGCGUUGUUCGGAAUUACUGGGCGUAAAGGGCGCGUAGGCGGCGCGGUAAGUCACUUGUGAAAUCUCUGAGCUUAACUCAGAACGGCCAAGUGAUACUGCAGUGCUAGAGUGCAGAAGGGGCAAUCGGAAUUCUCGGUGUAGCGGUGAAAUGCGUAGAUAUCAAGAGGAACACCUGAGGUGAAGACGGGUUGCUGGGCUGACACUGACGCUGAGGCGCGAAAGCCAGGGGAGCAAACGGG
RNAcentral lists this ribosomal RNA (253 nucleotides) under uncultured bacterium. RNAcentral describes it as "partial 16S ribosomal RNA". It matches the Rfam family "Bacterial small subunit ribosomal RNA", at positions 524 to 776 of the family's 1533-position model. The record is from RNAcentral.